RNAcentral lists this non-coding RNA (30 nucleotides) under Cricetulus griseus (Chinese hamster). Lineage: Eukaryota; Metazoa; Chordata; Mammalia; Rodentia; Cricetidae. The record is from RNAcentral.
GUAGCGGGAUCGAUGCCCGCAUCCUCCACU